RNAcentral lists this unclassified non-coding RNA (575 nucleotides) under Melitaea cinxia (Glanville fritillary). Its description in RNAcentral is "misc RNA ENSMCXG00005009154.1". Lineage: Eukaryota; Metazoa; Arthropoda; Insecta; Lepidoptera; Nymphalidae. The record is from RNAcentral.
UUAAAAGAAUAAUGUUAUUAACAGAUGUCGAUACAGCUAGAUUAGUUUACUUCAGCUACUUCCAUAGUAUAAUGUCCUAUGGCAUUUUGCUAUGGGGCAAUGCGGCUGAUAUUAAUGUCAUUUUUAUUCUGCAGAAAAGGGCUAUCCAAUCUCUGAGAAAGAGAAAUUUAAAGAGAUCAACAUCCUGACCUUUGCAUCGCAGUAUAUUUAUGAAAAUAUAAUGUUCAUACGGAAAAAUAGGCAUUUAUUUGUUAGUCGUAGUGAUCGACAUGCCUCACAUGAUGUAACACUCAGGAACGACCACAAAUUAAUAUUUCCUAAAUGCCGGCUCAGGAAAAAAAGUAGUUCCUUUAUAGGAAUGUCUAUCUUAUUAUACAAUAAGAUUCCGGCUGCGCUUCAAUCUCUGCCUUUACUGAAGUUUAAAAAAAAUUACUUUGUGUAGUAAAGCCUAUUAUAACAUCAAUGAAUAUCUUAAUGAUGAAAAGGCAUGGGAUUGAAUAAAGCUCGACCAGGCUAUGUCUUUGAUCUCAAUCUGUAAAUAGAUAUAGUUAAAAUAUUGUGAGCAGGUGACAUGU